AUUGAACGCUGGCGGCAGGCUUAACACAUGCAAGUCGAGCGGAGAUGAGGUGCUUGCACCUUAUCUUAGCGGCGGACGGGUGAGUAAUGCUUAGGAAUCUGCCUAUUAGUGGGGGACAACAUUCCGAAAGGAAUGCUAAUACCGCAUACGUCCUACGGGAGAAAGCAGGGGAUCUUCGGACCUUGCGCUAAUAGAUGAGCCUAAGUCGGAUUAGCUAGUUGGUGGGGUAAAGGCCUACCAAGGCGACGACCUGUAGCGGGUCUGAGAGGAUGCUCCGCCACACUGGGACUGAGACACGGCCCAGACUCCUACGGGAGGCAGCAGUGGGGAAUAUUGGACAAUGGGGGGAACCCUGAUCCAGCCAUGCCGCGUGUGUGAAGAAGGCCUUAUGGUUGUAAAGCACUUUAAGCGAGGAGGAGGCUACUGAGACUAAUACUCUUGGAUAGUGGACGUUACUCGCAGAAUAAGCACCGGCUAACUCUGUGCCAGCAGCCGCCGUAA
Molecule: ribosomal RNA, 501 nt
Filed under: uncultured bacterium
Lineage: Bacteria
Description: partial 16S ribosomal RNA
Rfam family: Bacterial small subunit ribosomal RNA
Source: RNAcentral